This is an RNA transcript of Medicago truncatula (barrel medic), 2202 nucleotides long. It is a transcript of the gene named 5' exonuclease Apollo, with no coding region annotated. The transcript has 5 exons. Lineage: Eukaryota; Viridiplantae; Streptophyta; Magnoliopsida; Fabales; Fabaceae. The record is from RefSeq and is a predicted model, not a curated record.
CAAUGAAAUGAUUUGAUGCUGUUGCAUCUUUUUUUUUUUUUUAAAUAAAUAACACAAAACAAAAGUGGUCAUCACUCUCAAUUUUCCCGGCCAGCACAAAAAAAGGUAGAAAACAAAAAUCAAAAUUCCCGCCUAAGCAUUCCCCAAAUAAAAAUAUAAAAGAAAAUUUCUCAUUCUCAUCAUCACUUACACUCCAAAGAAAGAGGUUCACACUUUUUUAACAGCAGUGUUUCUUUCUCCGUCACCAAAAAUGGAAGAUGGUUUAAUAUCGGUAGAUCGUUGGGCAAGAGGAAGUGAAGCAUAUUUCUUAACACAUCUUCACUCCGAUCACACUAAAGGCCUUUCUUCUAAAUGGUCACAUGGCCCACUCUUCUGCUCUCCAAUCACCGCCAGACUACUUCCAAUCAAAUUCCCCAAUUUCAAUCUCUCUCUUCUCCGCAUUCUUCAUACUGGCACCUCCCACACUAUCUCACUCCGUUCACCUUCUUCUUCCAAUCCCACCACCGUCAUUGUCACCGCCAUCGAUGCCUGUCACUGUCCCGGUUCGAUUAUGUUGCUUUUUCGUGGAGAUUUUGGUUGUGAGCUUCAUACCGGUGAUUUUCGUUGGGAAGGUAGUUGUGAGAAGGCAAGGAUUGCUAGAGAAAUGCUUGGUGUUGCUCUAAAGGAACAUGAUGGUGUUGUUGAUGUUGUUUGCCUUGAUAAUACUUAUGCUAAUCCUACUUAUGAAUUUCCUAGUCGUAGCGUUGCGGCUCAACAGGUAAUUGAUAUAAUUUCAUCUCAUCCUGACCAUGAUGUUAUUAUCGGAAUCAAUAAUUAUGGGAAAGAAGAUCUCUUGCUUCAGAUUUCAAGGGCCUUUGAUAUAGAGAUUUGGGUGUCGCCACAGCGGUUGCAGACUAUGCAUCUUCUUGGUUUACCUGAUGUAUUUACAACAGAUACAACCGUUACUAGAGUCAGAGCUGUUCCAAUGUAUAGCUUUAGCAGGAAAACAUUGGAGGGAUUAAAUUUAAUACGCCCAACUAUAGGAAUUUUGCCAUCAGGUCUUCCAUGGGUAAAGAAAUCCCUUAAAAAGAACGAGUUUCUCUCUGGUUCUUUUUUGACGUCGGGUUCUAAGAGAAGCAGGUGUGACACAGAUAGUACUCAGGUCCAGAUGGAUAAGAAAAUCGACAAAACAGGAUCCCCCAAAAUGUUCGACAAGUAUAUAUUUUCAGUUCCUUACUCUGAUCAUUCAAACUGUGCAGAGCUAGAGGAUUUUAUUAAGCUUGUCAAGCCAAGUAGUCUGAAGGGUAUCGUUUCUUCCUCUACAUGCUAUAUUGAACCCAUGUACUACUUUGGCCGACUUUGUACCGGUAACCAACCAGCACCAAUGCUACAUAACGUUGAAGAUGUUAAUGUUGAGUUAGAUAGAAACAUAAGCAAGGAAAGUUAUUUACUGAAAGGAAGUGGUAAAAGGGUGGUAACAAUCAACCCUGAAACAUCAUUUGAAGAUGAUAAUGUUGAGUUAGAUAGAAAUAGAUACAGAAGGAAGACUUCGAAGGUUAAGUUAGGUUCUCGUAUGACAAAGUUUAUAAAACGGGGUGGAGUUAAAAUUUUAGAGCAUGUUGAAGAAUAGUUUCGCAUGUGGCAUAAUUGAUCAAGUAUGAUGUGUACGAAUGAAGUUGGGCACUGCUUUGGAAGUCCAUGUUGCAAGGAACAAAUAUGGUGAAAAAUUGAGUCUUGGAGCAGAAGAAAGGGUUUUGGAGCAUGAUUAAGGAAUGGAAGGAUCUAGAGCAUGAUUUGGAGCUGAUUCAGGCCAAAAAUAUGAAGAUCAUGUGCAAAAAUAUCAGGCCCGUGCCUGACAAAAUCCAAACCGAGCCUCCAAGUUAUUCAAGCAUGCCAAACUCCAGAGAGACUGGCACGGCCCGUGCCUGCAGGUGCACGACCGUACUCGAUGCCAGCUCCCCUUUUUGCUGUUUUGUUCAAAGACUGACAUGGCUCAUGCUAAGCUGAGCACAGCCGUGCCAAAGUUUCAGGCUGCUAUUUUGAUAUAUUUUCAGACCUAAAAGCCCAUGGGUUGCUUGCUAUGUAAUUUUUAUUCAUUUUCUUAGGGCUUAAGUGAAGUAGCAAUAAAUGUCACAAGAAAGGGGGGGUUUGAAUUGUGACCCUUUUUAAAUUAUUCCUGAAAGUUUAUAUUAAAUUUUAUACUCAAGAAAAUUUCUUGGUUAA